GAAUGCGAUCAUACUAGCACUAAAGCACCGGAUCCCAUUAGAACUCCAAAGUUAAGCGUGCUUGGGCGAGAGUAGUACUAGGAUGGGUGACCUCCUGGGAAGUCCUCGUGUUGCAUUCC
This 119-nucleotide ribosomal RNA is filed under the name Triticum dicoccoides. The record is from RNAcentral. Lineage: Eukaryota; Viridiplantae; Streptophyta; Magnoliopsida; Poales; Poaceae.